GAUGAACGCUGGCGGCGUGCUUAACACAUGCAAGUCGAACGGAAAGGCCCAAGCUUGCUUGGGUACUCGAGUGGCGAACGGGUGAGUAACACGUGGGUGAUCUGCCCCGCACUUCGGGAUAAGCCUGGGAAACUGGGUCUAAUACCGGAUAGGACCACUUCUUGGAGGUUGUGGUGGAAAGUUUUUUCGGUGUGGGAUGAGCUCGCGGCCUAUCAGCUUGUUGGUGGGGUAAUGGCCUACCAAGGCGUCGACGGGUAGCCGGCCUGAGAGGGUGUACGGCCACAUUGGGACUGAGAUACGGCCCAGACUCCUACGGGAGGCAGCAGUGGGGAAUAUUGCACAAUGGGCGCAAGCCUGAUGCAGCGACGCCGCGUGGGGGAUGACGGCCUUCGGGUUGUAAACUCCUUUCGCUAGGGACGAAGCGCAAGUGACGGUACCUAGAGAAGAAGCACCGGCUAACUACGUG
RNAcentral lists this ribosomal RNA (466 nucleotides) under uncultured bacterium. RNAcentral's name for it is "partial 16S ribosomal RNA". It matches the Rfam family "Bacterial small subunit ribosomal RNA", at positions 28 to 507 of the family's 1533-position model. The record is from RNAcentral.